GAAACCUCAUCUUGCUCAAGCGCCAUCCGGGCGCCAGAGCGGUGUUUUUAACUAAACACAGGCACUUCGCCUGGAUGAGGAGAGAGG
Molecule: non-coding RNA, 87 nt
Submitted as: unclassified sequences
Source: Rfam